CUGAACAACUGCAAGCUG
RNAcentral lists this unclassified non-coding RNA (18 nucleotides) under Dictyostelium discoideum. The record is from RNAcentral. Lineage: Eukaryota; Evosea; Eumycetozoa; Dictyosteliales; Dictyosteliaceae.